This 499-nucleotide ribosomal RNA is filed under the name uncultured bacterium. RNAcentral's name for it is "partial 16S ribosomal RNA". It matches the Rfam family "Bacterial small subunit ribosomal RNA", at positions 28 to 507 of the family's 1533-position model. The record is from RNAcentral.
GACGAACGCUGGCGGCGUGCCUAAUACAUGCAAGUCGAGCGGACCGAACAGGAGCUUGCUCUUGUUCGGUUAGCGGCGGACGGGUGAGUAACACGUGGGUAACCUGCCCGUAAGACCGGGAUAACUCCGGGAAACCGGAGCUAAUACCGGAUAACACCGAAGACCGCAUGGUCUUUGGUUGAAAGGCGGCUUCGGCUGCCACUUACGGAUGGGCCCGCGGCGCAUUAGCUAGUUGGUGAGGUAACGGCUCACCAAGGCGACGUUGCGUAGCCGGCCUGAGAGGGUGAACCGGCACAAUUGGACUGAGAAACGGCCCAGAAUCCUAAGGGAGGCAGCAGUAGGGAAUCUUCCGGAAUGGAGGAAAGGCUGAAGGGGCGACGCCGCGUGAGCGAAGAAGGGCUUCGGAUCGUAAAGAUCUGUUGUUAGGGAAGAAGAAGCGUCGUUAGAACAGGGCGGCGCGGUGACGGUACCUAACGAGAAAGCCACGGCUAACUACGUG